AAUAAAUCAAUAUUUUACUUUUUACCUACAAUGUUUGACUUUUCAUUUUACUUGAAAAAAAUUAUGAUUAAUAUUUUUAUUUUUAUUAGAUGAUAAAUCGUAAAUAAUAUUUUACGUGUGACUAAUUCUUUUAUAAUUUCUUGAAAAUUUUUCAAAUAAAACGGAUAAUCAAACACUGGACACGGAAACCAAAG
RNAcentral lists this microRNA precursor (194 nucleotides) under Oryza brachyantha (malo sina). RNAcentral's name for it is "MIR812 microRNA precursor family". It matches the Rfam family "MIR812 microRNA precursor family". The record is from Rfam by way of RNAcentral. Lineage: Eukaryota; Viridiplantae; Streptophyta; Magnoliopsida; Poales; Poaceae.